Molecule: long non-coding RNA, 261 nt
Organism: Xenopus tropicalis (tropical clawed frog)
Lineage: Eukaryota; Metazoa; Chordata; Amphibia; Anura; Pipidae
Exons: 3
Source: RefSeq, a predicted model, not a curated record
UGCUUUUCUCAAGUUAUCCAGUGGUCCAAUCAUCACCCAGGUUUUCUUUAUUUUGGCUGGUACAAAAUCAGGAGAAGGGACGGUUAUAACCCGAAACAGGGAUGGAUUUGUUGAUGCUCGAUUUCUGGAUAAUGGAAAAGGAAAAUGGUUCCUUGUACAAACUAAUUACGACCACUGGAAAUUGCCACCUAGAUUUGAUGAUCGCAGAACACCUGCAACUGAGGCUAUGAAUUGCCACUGGGUCAGAAAAACAUCAGUAUG